AUUGAACGCUGGCGGCAUGCCUUACACAUGCAAGUCGAACGGUAACAGGUCUUCGGAUGCUGACGAGUGGCGAACGGGUGAGUAAUACAUCGGAACGUGCCCAGUAAUGGGGGAUAGCCCGGCGAAAGCCGGAUUAAUACCGCAUACGCCCUGAGGGGGAAAGUGGGGGACCGCAAGGCCUCACGUUAUUGGAGCGGCCGAUGGCUGAUUAGCUAGGUGGUGGGGUAAAGGCUCAACAAGGCGACGCUCAGUAGCUGGUCUGAGAGGACGAUCAGCCACACUGGGCCGGAGACACGGCCCAGACGCCUACGGGAGGCAGCAGUGGGGAAUUUUGUACAAUGGUGGCAACCCUGCUCCAGCAAUGCCUCGUGUGCGAAGAAGGCCUUCGGGUUGUAAAGCACUUUUGUCAGGGAAGAAAUCCUUUGGGCUAAUACCCUAGGGGGAUGACGGUACCUGAAGAAUAAGCACCGGCUAACUACGUGCCAGCCGCCGCCGUAA
This 498-nucleotide ribosomal RNA is filed under the name uncultured bacterium. RNAcentral's name for it is "partial 16S ribosomal RNA". It matches the Rfam family "Bacterial small subunit ribosomal RNA", at positions 30 to 523 of the family's 1533-position model. The record is from RNAcentral.